UCUUAAUUGGUAGAUAAUUACGCUAAGUUUAAGCCUUAGACAUUACAACCAAUCCAAAGAUCC
This 63-nucleotide transfer RNA is filed under the name Harpactocrates apennicola. RNAcentral describes it as "tRNA-Leu". Lineage: Eukaryota; Metazoa; Arthropoda; Arachnida; Araneae; Dysderidae. The record is from RNAcentral.